This 73-nucleotide ribosomal RNA is filed under the name Streptomyces sp. NRRL F-6602. Lineage: Bacteria; Bacillati; Actinomycetota; Actinomycetes; Kitasatosporales; Streptomycetaceae. The record is from RNAcentral.
CCCGGAAGCUAAGCCUUACAGCGCCGAUGGUACUGCAUGCGGGAGCGUGUGGGAGAGUAGGACGCCGCCGGAC